GACGAACGCUGGCGGCGUGCUUAACACAUGCAAGUCGAACGGAAAGGCCCCUUUGGGGGUACUCGAGUGGCGAACGGGUGAGUAACACGUGAGUAACCUGCCCUGGACUUCGGGAUAACUUCAGGAAACUGGGGCUAAUACCGGAUAGGAAUCCUUGCUGCAUGGUGGGGGUUGGAAAGCUUCGGCGGUUUUGGAUGGACUCGCGGCUUAUCAGCUUGUUGGUGGGGUAGUGGCUUACCAAGGCUUUGACGGGUAGCCGGCCUGAGAGGGCGACCGGCCACAUUGGGACUGAGAUACGGCCCAGACUCCUACGGGAGGCAGCAGUGGGGAAUAUUGCACAAUGGGCGGAAGCCUGAUGCAGCAACGCCGCGUGCGGGAUGACGGCCUUCGGGUUGUAAACCGCUUUCAGCAGGGGCGAAGCUUGUGGUGACGGUACCUGCAGAAGAAGCACCGGCUAACUACGUG
This 465-nucleotide ribosomal RNA is filed under the name uncultured bacterium. Its description in RNAcentral is "partial 16S ribosomal RNA". It matches the Rfam family "Bacterial small subunit ribosomal RNA", at positions 28 to 507 of the family's 1533-position model. The record is from RNAcentral.